Lingula anatina is the source of this 332-nucleotide long non-coding RNA. The record is from RefSeq and is a predicted model, not a curated record. Lineage: Eukaryota; Metazoa; Brachiopoda; Lingulata; Lingulida; Lingulidae.
UGAUGAAUAAAUGGCAAGUGAUAUGUGUCCCUGUAAAACUGGCAGUGGCAAAUUUGUUUUUUGACAUCGUCACUCUCAUUUGUCAUAGGCUGUAAAAGAGCACAUCCUGAAAGACAUGACAGAUAUGGGGAAAGCAGCAGGACUCAAAUCCUUUGAGCAGGUAAAGGACAUUCAUUUGCAUCAUGAGUUGUUUAGUGUGGAGAAUGGCCUGCUGACACCGACAUUCAAGUCAAAACGCCAGGAUAUAAAGAAAUUUUUCGCAACACAGUUAGAUGAAAUGUAUAGCAAGCUGGAUUGAGUUCGUAGUAGUUAAUUGAUGCAUUGUAGAACUU